RNAcentral lists this unclassified non-coding RNA (223 nucleotides) under Hevea brasiliensis (rubber tree). The record is from RNAcentral. Lineage: Eukaryota; Viridiplantae; Streptophyta; Magnoliopsida; Malpighiales; Euphorbiaceae.
GACAGUUCUGUGAGGAGAUCAUAUCUUGUUCCAACUCCUAAACUACGUCCCGCAAAAUCCAAUGUCUCUCUGACUGUCAUCUCUCCAUGAUGAAGGUCAUGCUGACUGAUAUAAGCACAAGUCCUCUGAGGAAUAAAAUCUGAGAGCUCAUGACCACAAUAACUGAUUUUCCCAGCGACUCUCAGAUCCUUAUCUGGCACUCCAGCAAGUGAUUUUAGCAAUG